Paramormyrops kingsleyae is the source of this 1375-nucleotide long non-coding RNA. RefSeq lists it as uncharacterized. Lineage: Eukaryota; Metazoa; Chordata; Actinopteri; Osteoglossiformes; Mormyridae. The record is from RefSeq and is a predicted model, not a curated record.
ACCAUUUUUAUACAACAUUAUAGUACAAUCGACCCGCCUGAGCUCCACAAGCUCCGUUUGCCAUUUGGACAUUCUGACAUUUACAGACUCUCCACUGUCUUACAACGGCGACAUAAAAACGCAGCGAGCCGGGAGGAAAUGUUACAGGAAAGCCUUCAUCUGUGAGCGGCAUGCUGACAUUUCACUGGAAACCAACGACGACCGGCGUUUUUGUUCUCUGAUUAAAGCAACGAGGCCCUGGAAACCACGCUAUGCUGUGAAUAUGGGAUGGUGGGCUAGGGCACUGUGCCCAUAUCCGGAAGGCUGUGGGCUCAAAUCCCACGACUGGCAAGUAAUCAUAUCAAUCAGGCCCUUGAGUAAAGAUGCUAACACUCAUUGCUCCAGGGUCUGCCGGACCCUACUCGCUGAUCCCGACUCGUACGUCACUUUGGAUAAAUGUGCCUGCUACAUAAAUAAAUGUAAAUGAAUGCAUCCACCUAUAGGAGAUGUCAGACACAACACAGAGCCAGCCAAAGGCAUGACGCCAUUAGUUUGCUUUUCUUAUGUGAACAAUCAAGGUGUAGUAUUAUUAAGCAAGCUCCAGGAACAACGAAUGGCCAAUCAGAACAGAGGAAUGGAACGGAGAGCUCUGGUUUAUGGUCUUAAUAUACAACAAGUGAGCCUUGCUUCAUCCUUCCUUUACAGAAUGAUAUGCUAAUAUGCUCAGGCUGUGCGAAUCAGAGGUUAUGAUUCACCGGGGGGGGGGGAUCUGCAUGCUGGCAUUGCCGUUACCAGCUAGUCACUCCGUGCUAAAGGGAGAAUCACGUUAAGAUUAAAGUCAUUAUUCAUUUACAUUCACACGUCUCACAAAUUCUUUAUUUAAAAGGGACUUAAGCAUUUUUUAGAUUACGCACAGAAAGUGAAACAGCAACCUGAAAUGUUAACGCACACGGCUAACAUCUUCACUGAACUUGCUCUCGGACCAUUUUUGCCAGAACGUUCUACUGAGCAGUGACAUCCUACGCAGGUCCGGAGCCAGCCAGCUUCCUAAAGACGUUUUUUUCUUCUUUUUUUUUUUAUAAGGAGUGUCAGAAAUACCCCAGGCAGGAUACGCGUCACAUUUUGUCAGAUUUCAAUAUCGGCCUGAUUGCUGCUCUAUUUUCCCACACGCUGGAACGUCGCGAGCGUGACGGAGCGCAGCGAGGCGGCUCCCCGGGAUGGACGUGGUGCUAAACAAGACCGAAGGUCUGCCAGGUCCCAGGUCACCAACCGGACCCCCACUGCAGAGAGAGGGAGCAGCACAGCAUUGGGAUCUGAUCAAACUGAAAGCCCUUUAAGGACACCAUGUCGGGCCGGUCGAACCUAACCCAGAUCCUGGACCACACAGCGCUGAGGG